CUUUCCGGCUGGAAUGGGGAAUUUGUGAGGUAGGCCGGAAGUGGUGUUGCGGAGGGAACUGUGGGGAGAGCAGAGGGGCAGCUCUGCUGGAGAGACCUGAGGCUUGCAUCGCUGGGCCCGGCCGGGUCGCUGCGGCUGGGCUGGAGGUGAGGCGAAAGAAGGGCAUCCUCUGAUGGGAGUGGACCGGAGUCCGCUAAAGCGAAGCAUUCCAGGGUCAAGGAUGCAUUCCAGGAAAGUUCUAUAAAAAUAUACCAUCAACUCCAACCUGAUAUUUGACCUAGCCAUGGAAAACCUCAUUGGCUCCUCACUGGAUCAGACCAUAAAAAUGAUCCAGGAAUGAAAAUCUAAGAUAAAUUCCCACCACUUCAAGAUGUUCUUAUACAAGUCAACAGUCUAGCAGAUCAGCCAGUCUCUUUCAUCAUCAAGCAGACAUACUCAAGUGCCAAUUAUAACAUUUUAAUCAAACUGGAACAAAUUGCUAUUAAAAUGGAUCAUUUCUUUAUUAAAAGAAAGAGGAAUAGUGAAGUGAAAUACACAGAAGCAUGUUCAAGUUCAUCUGUUGAAUCUGGAAUUGUGAAUAGUGACAAUAUUGAGAAAAAUACUGACUCCAAUCUGCAAACUUCAACUUCAUUUGAGCCACAUUUCAAAAAGAAA
This 654-nucleotide small RNA is filed under the name Pan troglodytes (chimpanzee). Its description in RNAcentral is "processed transcript". Lineage: Eukaryota; Metazoa; Chordata; Mammalia; Primates; Hominidae. The record is from RNAcentral.